This 442-nucleotide ribosomal RNA is filed under the name uncultured bacterium. RNAcentral describes it as "partial 16S ribosomal RNA". It matches the Rfam family "Bacterial small subunit ribosomal RNA", at positions 338 to 795 of the family's 1533-position model. The record is from RNAcentral.
CCUACGGGGGGCAGCAGUAGGGAAUAUUUCACAAUGGGCGAAAGCCUGAAGGAGCAACGCCGCGUGCAGGAUGAAGGCCUUCGGGUUGUAAACUGCUUUUAUAAGCGAGGAAUAUGAUGGUAACUUAUGAAUAAGGAUCGGCUAAAUCCGUGCCAGCAGCCGCGGUCAUACGUAGGAUCCGAGCAUUAUCCGGAGUGACUGGGGGUAAAGAGUUGCGUAGGUGGCAUACGAAGUAGCUAGGGAAAUCUGUAGGCUCAACCAUUCAGACUAUUAGCUAAACUGUUACGCUCGAGACUGUGAGAGGUAAGUGGAAUUUUUAGUGUAGGAGUGAAAUCCGUAGAUAUUAGGAGGAACACCAAUAGCGUAGGCAGGUUACUGGAACGGUUCUGACACUAAGGCACGAAAGCGUAGGGAGCAAACAGGAUUAGAUACCCGGGUAGUC